Molecule: long non-coding RNA, 1570 nt
Organism: Dermochelys coriacea (leatherback sea turtle)
Lineage: Eukaryota; Metazoa; Chordata; Testudines; Dermochelyidae
Exons: 2
Source: RefSeq, a predicted model, not a curated record
UCAGGGAUGGUCUAGAUAAUACUCAGUCCUAUUUCAGUUCCAGAAACUGGACUAGAUGACCUACUGAGGCACUGUCCAGUCGUACAUUUCUGUGAUUCUAUGCUAACUGCUAAUGCUGUUCUCUGAUGCCUCAUGUACUCUAUGCUGCCGAGUAACACACAAUUGCUCGUGACACAACCAGGGGGAGGGAUCAAUAUAUGAAACGCAGAAAACCUAUCUGGCAGAAAUCAGGCCACUGUCUCUCUCGGAAAUGUCUGAUGUCUGCUAGGCUCCCAAACGAUUAACUCUUGCAGAUCUGAAACAGUAGCAGGAAACUAACCAACUACAGCAAAUUUAUUAGAAAUUGCACAGCAAACCCAUAACAUGCCUGUUUCUGGUUUUGCUCAGUUAGGGCGGCUCCCUUCUGAGAAGACUCUUGUAAAUAGGAUUAAUUAGUAAUGGAGCUCAAAUGAUCAGAGCUGGAAGAUCACAGCUCAUAUUGGGUCAGCUUGUGAAUGUCAUGAGUGCAUCUUCUAGCCUGUUUUGUGGUACUAAUGUUUGCCAUGGAGACUCAAAUCACCUAAGGUCUAACAAGCAAAUAGAUGUUUGUGUGAUCACCUGCAGUACCAACAGCAUGGAAUUCAUGGGCACCAUCUGGAAAAUCCUAUGAGACUCUAGCAUAGAAAAAAAAAAAGAGGAGGUACAUCUGCUAUCACACAGAAAUAGGAAUGAAUAUCUCUUGGAUUUCUCUGCUGAAAUAGAAAAGCACAGCAUGUAAUUCUAAUGAUACUGAGGUAGAGAGAAUUACUGAGCCUGAUUCUGAUCGCAGGACUAUCCACUCAUCUCAACUUUUGCGUUGCUCCUGCUGGCCAGACAGUCAAAGAUUCUCACAGUGUUGGGGAAACUCUGGGUGGCAUAGAGCUUGGCUACGCUAGCCCUACAUUGCUCUCCCUUGCAACACUGGCAUGCAGGGAGAGUGCAUGAUUGGAGCACUGCCACACUAAGGCAAUCCCUGGCUGGCAUAAUGGCUCUUCAGUGUAAAGCUGUGGGGGAAUCAGAUGAUCCGCGCAUACACAAAAAUAUAUUAUGGCCCUGAUUUUCCACUGAUAUCCACUGAGUCUGACUAUUUACACCAGUGCAAAGUAGGAGGAGUGAAAUGGUAGCUUUUCAAUUUGAUAGUAUAUUACCCCCACAUAGCACUCUUCUAAAUGACCACAACCAGCACAGAGCAAUAACAAAAGAAUGAUAUAAUAACCACUGGCAGAAGACUUGAACUCAGUGUCAUCUUGCUGGGACAGCUCAGAUGCUGCACCCAAGAAAUUGCAUUGAAUGGCUCCUGACAGUAAUCCAGGCAGGCUGCGACACUGUCAGUUAUAAUCAAGUUUAUUCAAAAAUGGCCUCAGUCACAAAUGGUUAGCUAUCUCAUCUGUCAUGGCUGAGCAGAGACUGAAGCAAAAGGUCAGGUCCAUCAUGUAUGACAAGGGUAUCAGGAACGCCUCCAUGGAUUGUACUACACAUGAUUGCCCCAGACCUGUUUUGCAUUAACUUGCUUUUGUUUUCUCCCUUAACAUGUUAAAAAAGAGUGUUAUCC